Molecule: ribosomal RNA, 434 nt
Filed under: uncultured Lachnospiraceae bacterium
Lineage: Bacteria; Bacillati; Bacillota; Clostridia; Lachnospirales; Lachnospiraceae
Also listed under: 1 other name
Description: bacterial SSU rRNA
Rfam family: Bacterial small subunit ribosomal RNA
Source: RNAcentral
ACGGAAGGCAGCAGUGGGGAAUAUUGCACAAUGGGGGAAACCCUGAUGCAGCGACGCCGCGUGAAGGAAGAAGUAUCUCGGUAUGUAAACUUCUAUCAGCAGGGAAGAAAAUGACGGUACCUGACUAAGAAGCCCCGGCUAACUACGUGCCAGCAGCCGCGGUAAUACGUAGGGGGCAAGCGUUAUCCGGAUUUACUGGGUGUAAAGGGAGCGUAGACGGCAUCGUAAGUCUGAUGUGAAAGGCAGGGGCUCAACUCCUGGACUGCAUUGGAAACUACGAAGCUUGAGUGCCGGAGGGGUAAGCGGAAUUCCUAGUGUAGCGGUGAAAUGCGUAGAUAUUAGGAGGAACACCAGUGGCGAAGGCGGCUUACUGGACUGUAACUGACGUUGAGGCUCGAAAGCGUGGGGAGCAAACAGGAUUAGAUACCCUGGUA